GCGUCGAUGGUAGAGCGGUCAAUUACAACAGACUGUAAAUCUGUCGCCCUUCGGGCUACGUUGGUUCAAAUCCAACUCGGCGCAC
RNAcentral lists this transfer RNA (85 nucleotides) under bioreactor metagenome. Its description in RNAcentral is "tRNA-Tyr". It matches the Rfam family "tRNA". Rfam says of the family: Transfer RNA (tRNA) molecules are approximately 80 nucleotides in length. Their secondary structure includes four short double-helical elements and three loops (D, anti-codon, and T loops). The record is from RNAcentral.